AUUUUAAACCGUAGCAGUCGCCCCGCCUUGGCGGGGAGGAAAGUCCGAGCACCACAAAGCAAAGCGGCCGCUAACGGCGUGCCGGCUUGGCAGUAAUGCCGGGCAAGGGAAAGUGCCACAGAGACCAUUCCUUCCUGGGUUCCCCCAGGAUAAGGGUGAAAAGUCCGCGGUAAUGAACGCGGUCCCCGCCGAGCGAUCGGCCGGGGCGGUAAACCCCGCUUGGUGCAAGGUUGCAUGGGAAUCCGGAAUUUUCCGCCGCUUGCGGAACCGGCUUCGCAACCGCUAAGAGCCCGCCUCAGGCGGAUCAGAUAGAUGACUGCCCCCGGGCAACCGGGACAGAACUCGGCUUAUGAGUUUAAAUUAAAC
This 366-nucleotide RNase P RNA is filed under the name Candidatus Peregrinibacteria bacterium. RNAcentral's name for it is "RNase P RNA component class A". It matches the Rfam family "Bacterial RNase P class A". From Rfam's summary of the family: Ribonuclease P (RNase P) is a ubiquitous endoribonuclease, found in archaea, bacteria and eukarya as well as chloroplasts and mitochondria. Its best characterised activity is the generation of mature 5'-ends of tRNAs by cleaving the 5'-leader elements of precursor-tRNAs. Cellular RNase Ps are ribonucleoproteins. Lineage: Bacteria; Candidatus Peregrinibacteriota. The record is from RNAcentral.